GAGUAAAAAUUUAAUUUCGAGUAUCCUGAGUCAGACCGGUAGAAUUAAACCGGACCGGGUCGAGUCGGCCAAAUCGGACCGGCCUUCUUCCUUUUCUUCUCUUCUUCCCUGCGCGUCCCAAUGCCUUCCCUCUCUCCCUCGUUUUCUCUCUCCUCUUUCCUCCCCUUAUCGCCUCACUGCCGCCCCUCCCUUCCCAGCUCACCGGUGCGCCUCCAGGGACCUUACCCAUUGCCGGCCACAGCUCCAGUGGUCGGAAAAAUGCGCACACAGUCCCUUCAACGCGCCGCACGACGCUUCGGCUUCCUGGGUCGAUUCCGGCCGAUCCGGCCACCGAUUAUACCGAGUCUUAUCCCAAAACCUAUCUACACCUCGAGAGCUUUCUAUAGA
Molecule: unclassified non-coding RNA, 387 nt
Filed under: Hevea brasiliensis (rubber tree)
Lineage: Eukaryota; Viridiplantae; Streptophyta; Magnoliopsida; Malpighiales; Euphorbiaceae
Source: RNAcentral